GAUGAACGCUGGCGGCGUGCUUAACACAUGCAAGUCGAACGAUGAAGCCCAGCUUGCUGGGUGGAUUAGUGGCGAACGGGUGAGUAACACGUGAGUAACCUGCCCUUAACUCUGGGAUAAGCCUGGGAAACUGGGUCUAAUACCGGAUAGGAGCGUCCACCGCAUGGUGGGUGUUGGAAAGAUUUAUCGGUUUUGGAUGGACUCGCGGCCUAUCAGCUUGUUGGUGAGUUAAUGGCUCACCAAGGCGACGACGGGUAGCCGGCCUGAGAGGGUGACCGGCCACACUGGGACUGAGACACGGCCCAGACUCCUACGGGAGGCAGCAGUGGGGAAUAUUGCACAAUGGGCGAAAGCCUGAUGCAGCGACGCCGCGUGAGGGAUGACGGCCUUCGGGUUGUAAACCUCUUUCAGUAGGGAAGAAGCGAAAGUGACGGUACCUGCAGAAGAAGCACCGGCUAACUACGU
This 465-nucleotide ribosomal RNA is filed under the name uncultured bacterium. RNAcentral describes it as "partial 16S ribosomal RNA". It matches the Rfam family "Bacterial small subunit ribosomal RNA", at positions 28 to 506 of the family's 1533-position model. The record is from RNAcentral.